Molecule: transfer RNA, 63 nt
Filed under: Pericoma sp. ZHK-2021
Lineage: Eukaryota; Metazoa; Arthropoda; Insecta; Diptera; Psychodidae
Description: tRNA-Ala
Rfam family: tRNA
About the family: Transfer RNA (tRNA) molecules are approximately 80 nucleotides in length. Their secondary structure includes four short double-helical elements and three loops (D, anti-codon, and T loops).
Source: RNAcentral
AGGGUUAUAGUUAAAUAUAACAUUUGAUUUGCAUUCAAAAAGUACUGACUUCAGUUUACCUUU